AUUGAACGCUGGCGGCAGGCCUAACACAUGCAAGUCGAGCGGAUGAAGGGAGCUUGCUCCUGGAUUCAGCGGCGGACGGGUGAGUAAUGCCUAGGAAUCUGCCUGGUAGUGGGGGAUAACGUCCGGAAACGGGCGCUAAUACCGCAUACGUCCUGCGGGAGAAAGUGGGGGAUCUUCGGACCUCACGCUAUCAGAUGAGCCUAGGUCGGAUUGGCUAGUUGGUGGGGUAAAGGCCUACCAAGGCGACGUUCCGUAACUGGUCUGAGAGGAUGAUCAGUCACACUGGAACUGAGACACGGUCCAGACUCCUACGGGAGGCAGCAGUGGGGAAUAUUGGACAAUGGGCGAAAGCCUGAGCCAGCCAUGCCGCGUGUGUGAAGAAGGUCUUCGGAUUGUAAAGCACUUUAAGUGGGGAGGAAGGGCAGUAAGUUAAUACCUUGCUGUUUUGACGUUACCAACAGAAUAAGCACCGGCUAACUUCGUG
RNAcentral lists this ribosomal RNA (484 nucleotides) under uncultured bacterium. Its description in RNAcentral is "partial 16S ribosomal RNA". It matches the Rfam family "Bacterial small subunit ribosomal RNA", at positions 30 to 507 of the family's 1533-position model. The record is from RNAcentral.